Molecule: ribosomal RNA, 623 nt
Filed under: uncultured bacterium
Lineage: Bacteria
Description: bacterial SSU rRNA
Rfam family: Bacterial small subunit ribosomal RNA
Source: RNAcentral
AGAGUUUGAUCCUGGCUCAGAACGAACGCUGGCGGCAUGCCUAACACAUGCAAGUCGAACGAAGCCUUCGGGCUUAGUGGCGCACGGGUGCGUAACGCGUGGGAACCUGCCUUUAGGUUCGGAAUAACUCAGAGAAAUUUGAGCUAAUACCGGAUAAUGUCUUCGGACCAAAGAUUUAUCGCCUUUAGAUGGGCCCGCGUUAGAUUAGAUAGUUGGUGGGGUAAUGGCCUACCAAGUCGACGAUCUAUAGCUGGUCUGAGAGGAUGAUCAGCCACACUGGGACUGAGACACGGCCCAGACUCCUACGGGAGGCAGCAGUGGGGAAUAUUGGAUAAUGGGCGAAAGCCUGAUCCAGCAAUGCCGCGUGAGUGAUGAAGGCCUUAGGGUUGUAAAGCUCUUUUACCCGGGAUGAUAAUGACAGUACCGGGAGAAUAAGCUCCGGCUAACUCCGUGCCAGCAGCCGCGGUAAUACGGAGGGAGCUAGCGUUGUUCGGAAUUACUGGGCGUAAAGCGCGCGUAGGCGGCUAUUUAAGUCAGGGGUGAAAUCCCGGGGCUCAACCCCGGAACUGCCCUUGAAACUGGAUAGCUAGAAUCCUGGAGAGGCGAGUGGAAUUCCGAGUGUA